Long non-coding RNA from Lutra lutra (Eurasian river otter), 574 nucleotides. RefSeq lists it as uncharacterized. The record is from RefSeq and is a predicted model, not a curated record. The transcript is spliced from 3 exons. NCBI's taxonomy places the organism in Eukaryota, Metazoa, Chordata, Mammalia, Carnivora, Mustelidae.
AUUCUCCUCGCUUCCGCUAGUGGGGUAGGCGGUCUCACAUCUCCCAGGAAGAGUAAGGGGGCAGAGAUACCACCUCCCUCUCUAACAAGAAGUGUGCAGAAGGUGUUACAGGAGCCAUGAAGGGGCUCCUGCCAAAAGCUGGGGAGCGUGGAGGAAGCAGGCCAAAUUUCCUGGAGCUCUUGAUGCUUGAGCUGAGGUUUGGAGCAGGAGCACCCACUGCUAGAUGAGGAAUGCAAGAGAAGAGUAGAGGACAAGCCGGUUUUGAAGAGACUUUGGCCAAACAAACAAGCUGAGCUGCUCCUGUUUAAAAGAGACUAUUUUUCACGAGUGCUACAUAUCGGGAAACAAAAGAGAGGCACCAGAUGCAAAGAGCAUGUAAGCCAUCUUCUCUGCUUUUAAAGUGUUUCUAAAACUGACUUAGACUCCUUUAUUUAUAAUGACACUUGGUAUAAAUGACCUUUGGGUAACUUGGCUUUUGUAAUCAGAGGAUCAUGGGGCUUUUCCCUCUGGUUUUGCCUUCCCCUUGUUUUUCUCCCUAAAAAGGACAUGAUGGAAUAUAUUCUCUUUAUUCUGA